GUUGGUGAAUGGUUACUGCCCAAGAGACCAACUGCCUUUGAUGGAAUUGGAUCAUGUUGCAAACUGACAGAAACAGAACAGUUACCGUUCUACUGACUCCAGUCACAGAGAGGAGGUACCGUCCUACUGACUCCAGCCAUAGAGAAGAGGUACCGUCCUACUGACUCCAGACCUAGAGAAGAGGUACUGUCCUACUGACUCCAGCCAUAAAGAAGAGGUACCGUCCUACUGACUCCAGCCAUAAAGAAGAAGUACCUAUCCUACUGACUCCAGCCAUAAAGAAGAGGUACCGUCCUACUGACUCCAGACCUAGAGAAGAGGUACCGUCCUACUGACUCCAGCCAUAAAGAAGAGGUACCGUCCUACUGACUCCAGCCAUUAAGAAGAGGUACGAUCCUACUGACUCCAGCCAUAGAGAAGAGCAAAGAAAAGAGUGAACAUGAGCUAUCAACCUUAUAGCCAUAUGUGUUACACAACAUGGUUCUGGAGGAAAGGAUUUAGCAAAGAAACAGGAGAUUAUGAAAUAGGAUAAAUUUCAAACUGACCACAAUGGCUGACGGUUCUCAGGGAAGGGAUGCCCAGGACCAGCCUGUGAUGGACAGUGGUUCUGCAGAGCAAGCUAACAGGGCAAACUCUGUGUCAAAUGAUGGGAACAACUGCAGGCAAAACAAAUCUACUGAACCUGAACAAGUGACUGUUGAACCUGUUCUAAUACAUAAUUCCAUUUCGAGAAGUAUCAGUUAUGACUACACUGAUUCCACACUCUUCCCAACAAACACUUUGACUCCUAAUCAUGGUCAGCAUGAUGAAAAUCACAGAAGGAAUGAAGGGUUGCCAAAAAUUCUGUCCUUAAGACGAGGGAACGUGGGCACCACAGUCUUGGGGCCUGAUCUUCCAUCCACAAGAGGAGGGAAUGAGAGCACCACAGUCCUGGGCCCUGACCAAGGCGUUUCCUGAUCUUCCAUCCACAAGACGAGGGAACGUGAGCACUGUAGCACAGGGCCCUGGCCAAGGGUUCCCUGAUCUUCCAUCCAC
Long non-coding RNA from Haliotis rubra (blacklip abalone), 1035 nucleotides. RefSeq lists it as uncharacterized. The record is from RefSeq and is a predicted model, not a curated record. The transcript has 3 exons. NCBI's taxonomy places the organism in Eukaryota, Metazoa, Mollusca, Gastropoda, Lepetellida, Haliotidae.